AACCUCCGCAAUGUGAGAAAUCGCGACGGGGGGAUCCCAAGUGCCAUUCUUAACGGGAUGGCUUUUCAUUAGUGUAAAAAGCUUUUGGAAUAAGAGCUGGGCAAGACCGGUGCCAGCCGCCGCGGUAACACCGGCAGCUCUAGUGGUAACAAUUUUUAUUGGGCCUAAAGCGUCCGUAGCCGGUUUAAUAAGUCUCUGGUGAAAUCCUGUAGCUUAACUGUGGGAAUUGCUGGAGAUACUAUUAGACUUGAGACCGGGAGAGGUUAGAGGUACUCCCAGGGUAGAGGUGAAAUUCUGUAAUCCUGGGAGGACCGCCUGUUGCGAAGGCGUCUAACUGGAACGGUUCUGACGGUGAGGGACGAAAGUUAGGGGCGCGAACCGGAUUAGAUACCCGGGUAGUCCUAACUGUAAACGAUGCGGACUUGGUGUUGGGGUGGCUUUGAGCUGCUCCAGUGCCGAAGGGAAGCUGUUAAGUCCGCCGCCUGGGAAGUACGGUCGCAAGACUGAAACUUAAAGGAAUU
RNAcentral lists this ribosomal RNA (521 nucleotides) under uncultured bacterium. RNAcentral's name for it is "bacterial SSU rRNA". It matches the Rfam family "Archaeal small subunit ribosomal RNA", at positions 345 to 866 of the family's 1478-position model. The record is from RNAcentral.